RNAcentral lists this ribosomal RNA (301 nucleotides) under uncultured bacterium. RNAcentral's name for it is "partial 16S ribosomal RNA". It matches the Rfam family "Bacterial small subunit ribosomal RNA", at positions 509 to 808 of the family's 1533-position model. The record is from RNAcentral.
CAGCCGCCACGGUAAUACGUAGGGUGCGAGCGUUGUCCGGAAUUAUUGGGCGUAAAGAGCUCGUAGGCGGUGUGUCACGUCGAUCGUGAAAACUUGGGGCUUAACUCUGAGCUUGCGGUCGAUACGGGCAUCACUUGAGUUCGGCAGGGGAGACUGGAAUUCCUGGUGUAGCGGUGAAAUGCGCAGAUAUCAGGAGGAACACCGGUGGCGAAGGCGGGUCUCUGGGCCGAUACUGACGCUGAGGAGCGAAAGCGUGGGGAGCGAACAGGAUUAGAUACCCCCGUAGUCCCUGUCUCUUAUA